Long non-coding RNA from Ostrea edulis (European flat oyster), 532 nucleotides. RefSeq lists it as uncharacterized. The transcript has 3 exons. The record is from RefSeq and is a predicted model, not a curated record. NCBI's taxonomy places the organism in Eukaryota, Metazoa, Mollusca, Bivalvia, Ostreida, Ostreidae.
GCCAAAAUUUGAAGGAAAAACGCAACGGCAAGCCAUAUAUUUUUUGGUGGAAUUUUGAAGGGGAGAUGAUGAACUUUGCUGAAUGGUGACUGAUUUUUUGAAAAUUGGCUUAAUAAAUAAUUGACAGUGAUUGGAAUUUGUAUGGAAGUCUAUGGGAAAACAUUUGGUGGUGUUUGUCCUAUACUGAGGUAGCGAGAACCAGUUUAUGAGAGAUUGGCUAACCCUCCCCCCUCUGGGAUAGGAGCACCCACACCAGCACAUAAGGCCUUUAGGGAUUCCCCAGGACCAUUAUUUGUACUGUGAGCUGCACUGUGAGCCCGACCAUGAAAGUUGCGUGCAAAGGUGACAUUCUUGGGUAGUGAACGCCUUAGACGUCGAUUAAAGCUCUCCACUUUCUGUGUAUUGCUAUUUAGAAUGGAUUUGUCUAGCACUGACGGAGCAAGCCGUUUAUUGACACAGGCUCUAAGAAUCCUUGCAUUGGCCCUGGAGUAAGGAAUUCUGAAGUUUUCAUCAAGAGAAGACUCGGCUGGAG